AAAUUUAAUAAGUUAACAGGCACAUUUAAUGUUUAAUAGGGAAAGUGGUAUAAGCCACUGCAGCCCCCGCUACUGUAAACGACGACGAUUUUCUUGAGUGUCCACUGAUGCUUUAAUGUAUUGGGAAGGAAAGAAAAAAGGUUGACUCGUGAGCCAGGAGACCUGCCUGUUUAACAAUGCUAAU
Molecule: non-coding RNA, 184 nt
Filed under: Clostridium amylolyticum
Lineage: Bacteria; Bacillati; Bacillota; Clostridia; Eubacteriales; Clostridiaceae
Source: RNAcentral